AAUAAAAAAUUUAGGUAAAAAUAUUAUUAUUUACUUUAAGACUUAAAAACAUUUUUAAAUCGAGUAGAGGUGAUCUAAAGUUAUUUUAUAAUACCUAAGUAAAAGUACCGCAGGGGAAUAUAAACAAAUUAAUUUAAAGAAAAAAUUAAAUUUUGUACCUUUUGUAUCAUGGUUUAACUAGAUAGUUAUUUUAUAUUUAAAUUUCUCGAAAUCUAAUGAGCUAUUUUUAUUCAAUUUAUUAGAAAAAAGGAUUAAUUGUAGCAAAAAUUUUCCUAGAAAUAAAAAUAGAAAUGAAAUUUUUUUCGUAUUAGAUGAUAGCUAGUUCUUCUAUAAAGGCAUAUAAGUGCUUUAAAUUAAUUUUAUUUUUAUAAUUAUAGUAUAAAGUAAAUUUUAGUUUAAUUAAAUUUUUGAGGAUAAGCUCGAAAAUUGUAAUUAUAUUUGCAUAAUUUAUUUUUAUUAAAAUUUAAGCUUGAAAAUAGCUAUAAUUUUGAUUUUGUUACAAUUUCAUUAAGUGUAAAAAAAGAUAAUUUAUUUGCUAAAGAUAAAAGAAGAAAACUUUAAAACUAAAAUGAGUUAGAUCUAUGUUAAGAUGAGUAUUAUGUUAAAAUAUAAUUUUUAAUAUUAUAUAAUUUAAAGUAUAUUAUUUUUUGCUAACUUAAAAUCAUAAAAAGGAACUCGGCAAAAGUCUAUAUUCUGCCUGUUUAGCAAAAACAUGGCUCCUUGUAAAAAGAAAAUAGGGAGUCGGACCUGCCCAGUGAAGUUUUUUAACGGCCGCGGUACUCUGACCGUGCAAAGGUAGCAUAAUCAUUUGCCUUAUAAUUGAAGGCUAGUAUGAAUGGUUUGACAAGAAUAUAACUGUCUCUUUUUGAUUUUAUAGAAUUUUAUCUAAAGGUGAAGAAGCCUUUAUUAAAUUAAAAGACAAGAAGACCCUAUCGAGCUUGAAAAGAAUAAAGAGGCUAGAUAAUUAAUAAAUUUAAAAAAUUUGCUAUUAAUAAUUUUAGUUGGGGCGACUGAGGAACAAAGAAAGCUUCCUUUAUCAAAAUAAAUACUUACAAAUAUUGAUCCAAAAAUUUUUGAUUGAAGAAAUUAGUUACCGUAGGGAUAACAGCAUUAUCUUUUUUAAGAGUUCUUAUCGAAAAAAGGGUUUGUGACCUCGAUGUUGGACCAGAAUAUCCUAAAGAUGCAGGAGUCUUUAAGGGUUGGUCUGUUCGACCAUUAAAAUUCUACGUGAUCUGAGUUCAGACCGGCGUGAGCCAGGUCAGUUUCUAUCUUUAAUUUCCGCGGUAGAUUCAGUACGAAAGGACCAAUUUACCAUAAUACUUUAUUUAGAAAGAUGAUGUAUAACACUUAAUUUAACUA
RNAcentral lists this ribosomal RNA (1359 nucleotides) under Granulifusus niponicus. Its description in RNAcentral is "16S ribosomal RNA". It matches the Rfam family "Bacterial large subunit ribosomal RNA", at positions 566 to 2860 of the family's 2925-position model. Lineage: Eukaryota; Metazoa; Mollusca; Gastropoda; Neogastropoda; Fasciolariidae. The record is from RNAcentral.